Molecule: ribosomal RNA, 253 nt
Filed under: uncultured bacterium
Lineage: Bacteria
Description: partial 16S ribosomal RNA
Rfam family: Bacterial small subunit ribosomal RNA
Source: RNAcentral
UACGUAGGCAGCGAGCGUUGUUCGGAAUUACUGGGCGUAAAGAGCGUGUAGGCGGCUUGGUAGGUCUCGCGUCAAAACCUGAGGCUCAACCUCCAGUUCGCGUGGGAAACCACCUAGCUAGAGUCCGGAAGAGGAGAACGGAAUUCCCAGUGUAGCGGUGAAAUGCGCAGAUAUUGGGAAGAACACCAGUGGCGAAGGCGGUUCUCUGGGACGGUACUGACGCUGAGACGCGAAAGCGUGGGGAGCGAACAGG